UCCCAUACGGUUGUCCAACACAGGGGGUGUCAUAAUGUCACGCCCCUUUUAUACCGGAGUGAGUAAAAAAGAGAAUGGUAGAU
Molecule: transfer RNA, 83 nt
Filed under: Cellulophaga phage Calle_1
Lineage: Duplodnaviria; Heunggongvirae; Uroviricota; Caudoviricetes; Pervagoviridae
Description: tRNA-OTHER
Source: RNAcentral